GUCAUAUGCUUGUCUCAAAGAUUAAGCCAUGCAUGUCUCAGUACAAGCCAAAUUAAGGUGAAACCGCGAAAGGCUCAUUAAAUCAGUUAUGGUUCCUUAGAUCGUACCCACAAUUACUUGGAUAACUGUGGUAAUUCUAGAGCUAAUACAUGCAAACAGAGCUCCGACCGGAGACGGGAGGAGUGCUUUUAUUAGAUCAAAACCAAUCGGUGGCGGGUUCGCGCUCGUCAUCGUACAACUUGGUGACUCUGAAUAACUUUAAGCUGAUCGCACGGUCAUCGCACCGGCGACGCAUCUUUCAAAUGUCUGACUUAUCAACUGUCGAUGGUAGGUUCUGCGCCUACCAUGGUUGUAACGGGUAACGGGGAAUCAGGGUUCGAUUCCGGAGAGGGAGCCUGAGAAACGGCUACCACAUCCAAGGAAGGCAGCAGGCGCGCAAAUUACCCACUCCCGGCACGGGGAGGUAGUGACGAAAAAUAACGAUACGGGACUCAUCCGAGGCCCCGUAAUCGGAAUGAGUACACUCUAAACCCUUUAACGAGGAUCAAUUGGAGGGCAAGUCUGGUGCCAGCAGCCGCGG
Molecule: ribosomal RNA, 580 nt
Filed under: Trigonopterus mangkutanensis
Lineage: Eukaryota; Metazoa; Arthropoda; Insecta; Coleoptera; Curculionidae
Description: SSU rRNA
Rfam family: Eukaryotic small subunit ribosomal RNA
Source: RNAcentral